AGUGAACGUUGGCGGCGUGGAUUAGGCAUGCAAGUCGAGCGAGAACCGUAGCAAUACGGGGACAGCGGCGAAAGGGACAGUAAUGUGUAGGUACCUACCUCCGGGUUCGGGAUAGCUGCGGGAAACUGCAGGUAAUACCGAAUAACGUCUCCGGACCAAAGGUGUGAUUCCACCUGGAGAGGGGCCUGCAUCCUAUUAGCUUGUUGGCGGGGUAACGGCCCACCAAGGCGACGAUGGGUAGCGGGUGUGAGAGCACGACCCGCGUCAUUGGGACUGAGACACUGCCCUGACACCUACGGGUGGCUGCAGUCGUGAAUCUUCGGCAAUGGGCGCAAGCCUGACCGAGCGACGCCGCGGGCGGGAUGAAGGCCUUCGGGUUGUAAACCGCUGUCGUAGAGGAGGAAAUGCAGGGGGGUUCUCCCCUCUGUUUGACCUAUUCUAGGAGGAAGUACUGGCUAAGUUCGUGCCAGCCGCCGCGGUAA
RNAcentral lists this ribosomal RNA (482 nucleotides) under uncultured bacterium. RNAcentral's name for it is "partial 16S ribosomal RNA". It matches the Rfam family "Bacterial small subunit ribosomal RNA", at positions 28 to 523 of the family's 1533-position model. The record is from RNAcentral.